GACGAACGCUGGCGGCGUGCUUAACACAUGCAAGUCGAGCGGUAAGGCCCUUUCGGGGGUACACGAGCGGCGAACGGGUGAGUAACACGUGGGUGACCUGCCUCUAGCUCUGGGAUAAGCCCGGGAAACUGGGUCUAAUACUGGAUAUGACUCCAUGACGCAUGUUGUGGGGUGGAAAGUCUUGUGCGGCUAGAGAUGGGCCCGCGGCCUAUCAGCUUGUUGGUGGGGNAUGGCCUACCAAGGCGACGACGGGUAGCCGGCCUGAGAGGGCGACCGGCCACACUGGGACUGAGACACGGCCCAGACUCCUACGGGAGGC
RNAcentral lists this ribosomal RNA (319 nucleotides) under uncultured bacterium. Its description in RNAcentral is "bacterial SSU rRNA". It matches the Rfam family "Bacterial small subunit ribosomal RNA", at positions 28 to 349 of the family's 1533-position model. The record is from RNAcentral.